AUUAGAGUUUGAUCCUGGCUCAGGAUGAACGCUAGCUACAGGCUUAACACAUGCAAGUCGAGGGGAAACGGGCGCCAAGCUUGCUUGGCGCAGUCGUCGACCGGCGAAUGGGUGAGUAACGCGUAUCCAACCUGGCUUCAAGCAGGGAACAGGCUUUCGAAAGAAAGAUUAAUACCCUAUGUGGUCCUCGGAAGACAUCAGAGGAGGACGAAAGAUUCAUCGCUUGAAGAUGGGGAUGCGUCUGAUUAGGCAGUUGGCGGGACAAGGGCCCACCAAACCGACGAUCAGUAGGGGUUCUGAGAGGAAGGUCCCCCACAUUGGAACUGAGACACGGUCCAAACUCCUACGGGAGGCAGCAGUGAGGAAUAUUGGUCAAUGGGCGGAAGCCUGAACCAGCCAAGUAGCGUGCAGGAUGACGGCCCUAUGGGUUGUAAACUGCUUUUGAAGGGGAGUAAAGUGAGUGACUUAUCAUUCAUUGCAAGUACCCUUGGAAUAAGGACCGGCUAAUUCCGUGCCAGCAGCCGCGGUAAUACGGAAGGUCCGGGCGUUAUCCGGAUUUAUUGGGUUUAAAGGGAGCGUAGGCUGCCCGGCAAGCGUGCUGUGAAAUACAGUGGCCCAACCACUGGACUGCAGCGCGAACUGUCGGGCUUGAGGGCGCACGACGCAGGCGGAAUUUGUGGUGUAGCGGUGAAAUGCUUAGAUAUCACGAAGAACCCCAAUUGCGAAGGCAGCUUGCGGGAGCGCGACUGACGCUGAAGCUCGAAAGUGCGGGUAUCAAACAGGAUUAGAUACCCUGGUAGUCCGCACGGUAAACGAUGGAUGCCCGUUCUGCGGCCUUCGGGCCGCGGGACCAAGCGAAAGCAUUAAGCAUCCCACCUGGGGAGUACGCCGGCAACGGUGAAACUCAUAGGAAUUGACGGGGGCCCGCACAAGCGGAGGAACAUGCGGUUUAAUUCGAUGAUACGCGAGGAACCUUACCCGGGCUUGAAUUGCAGACUAAUGCGGCGGAGACGCCGCAGUCCUUCGGGAAGUCUGUGAAGGUGCUGCAUGGUUGUCGUCAGCUCGUGCCGUGAGGUGUCGGCUCAAGUGCCAUAACGAGCGCAACCCCUGUCUCCUGUUGCCAUCAGGUAAAGCUGGGCACACUGGAGAGACUGCCGCCGUAAGGUGCGGGGAAGGUGGGGAUGACGUCAAAUCAGCACGGCCCUUACGUCCGGGGCUACACACGUGUUACAAUGGCCGGUACAGAAGGAUGGUGCCCCGCAAGGUGCAUCGAACCUGAAAAACCGGUCCCAGUUCGGACUGGGGUCUGCAACCCGACCCCACGAAGCUGGAUUCGCUAGUAAUCGCGCAUCAGCCAUGACGCGGUGAAUACGUUCCCGGGCCUUGUACACACCGCCCGUCAAGCCAUGAAAGCCGGGAGUGCCUGAAGUCCGUGACCGCGAGGAUCGGCCUAGGGCAAAAUCGGUAAUUGGGGCUAAGUCGUAACAAGGUAACCAAU
RNAcentral lists this ribosomal RNA (1498 nucleotides) under uncultured Prevotella sp. Its description in RNAcentral is "bacterial SSU rRNA". It matches the Rfam family "Bacterial small subunit ribosomal RNA". Lineage: Bacteria; Pseudomonadati; Bacteroidota; Bacteroidia; Bacteroidales; Prevotellaceae. The record is from RNAcentral.